UACGGAGGGUGCGAGCGUUGUUCGGAAUUAUUGGGCGUAAAGAGCGUGUAGGCGGUUGAACAAGUCAGAUGUGAAAUCCCUCGGCUCAACCGAGGAAGCGCAUUCGAAACUGUUCAACUUGAGUACGGGAGAGGGGAGCGGAAUUCCCGGUGUAGAGGUGAAAUUCGUAGAUAUCGGGAGGAACACCGGUGGCGAAGGCGGUUCUCUGGCCCGAUACUGACGCUGAGACGCGAAAGCGUGGGGAGCAAACAGGAUUAGAUACCCGAGUA
This 269-nucleotide ribosomal RNA is filed under the name uncultured prokaryote. RNAcentral describes it as "partial 16S ribosomal RNA". It matches the Rfam family "Bacterial small subunit ribosomal RNA", at positions 524 to 792 of the family's 1533-position model. The record is from RNAcentral.